GGUCAGGAUAGCUCAGUUGGUAGAGCAGA
Molecule: transfer RNA, 29 nt
Filed under: Restio bifidus
Lineage: Eukaryota; Viridiplantae; Streptophyta; Magnoliopsida; Poales; Restionaceae
Description: partial tRNA-Phe
Source: RNAcentral